This 240-nucleotide long non-coding RNA is filed under the name Prunus dulcis (almond). RNAcentral's name for it is "sRNA ncRNA". Lineage: Eukaryota; Viridiplantae; Streptophyta; Magnoliopsida; Rosales; Rosaceae. The record is from RNAcentral.
CUGGAUUCUGUCUCACACUUGAUCAAGAGCUCCAGUUCCUCGUUUGCUAGAAGACAAUUGCUCGAGCAAAGCUGAAUUCUCAGUGACAGUUCCUAAGGUUCUAUUUUCUAAAUCCCUAACCUCCAUGCUUGAUACUAAGUUUUCGUUCAGUACCAGAUGUCCUUUCCUUCAUUGUUCUAUAAUUGAGACACUUUUGAAUACGAAGAGAAAAACAAAGGGUGGGGAAAAUAUCAAUUUUCC